RNAcentral lists this ribosomal RNA (908 nucleotides) under uncultured Haloferula sp. Its description in RNAcentral is "bacterial SSU rRNA". It matches the Rfam family "Bacterial small subunit ribosomal RNA", at positions 17 to 918 of the family's 1533-position model. The record is from RNAcentral. Lineage: Bacteria; Pseudomonadati; Verrucomicrobiota; Verrucomicrobiia; Verrucomicrobiales; Verrucomicrobiaceae.
UCCUGGCUCAGAACGAACGCUGGCGGCGUGUUUAAGACAUGCAAGUCGUACGGGGAAUUUGAAUAGCUUGCUAAUUGAAUUCCUAGUGGCGCACGGGUGAGUAACACGUGAGUUACAUGCCCUGCAGAGGGGGAUAGCCCGCCGAAAGGCGGAUUAAUACCCCAUGGUCCCGCAAGGGUAAAGGGGGCUUCGGCUCCCGCUGCAGGAUUGGCUCGCGUCCUAUCAGCUUGUUGGUAAGGUAACGGCUUACCAAGGCAACGACGGGUAGCUGGUCUGAGAGGACGAUCAGUCACACUGGAACUGAGACACGGUCCAGACACCUACGGGUGGCAGCAGUCGAGAAUAAUUCACAAUGGGGGCAACCCUGAUGGUGCAACGCCGCGUGGAGGAUGAAGGCCCUAGGGUCGUAAACUCCUGUCAUUUGAGAGUAAGACCUGGCGGUCAAUAGCCGACAGGGUUGAUAGUAUCAAAAGAGGAAGGGACGGCUAACUUCGUGCCAGCAGCCGCGGUAAUACGAAGGUCCCAAGCGUUGUUCGGAAUCACUGGGCGUAAAGGGAGCGUAGGCGGUUUGGUAAGUCAGAUGUGAAAUCUCGGGGCUCAACCCCGAAACUGCAUCCGAUACUGCCUGACUUGAGUAGUGGAGGGGUAGAUGGAAUUCUCGGUGUAGCAGUGAAAUGCGUGGAUAUCGAGAGGAACACUUGUGGCGAAGGCGAUCUACUGGACACUUACUGACGCUGAGGCUCGAAGGCCAGGGUAGCGAAAGGGAUUAGAUACCCCUGUAGUCCUGGCAGUAAACGGUGUGCGCUUGGUGUGAGGGGUUUCGACCCCCUUCGUGCCGGAGCUAACGCGUUAAGCGCACCGCCUGGGAAGUACGGUCGCAAGACUAAAACUCAAAGAAAUUGACGGGG